RNAcentral lists this long non-coding RNA (235 nucleotides) under Gossypium raimondii (Peruvian cotton). RNAcentral describes it as "long non-coding RNA (GRAI_LNC003945)". Lineage: Eukaryota; Viridiplantae; Streptophyta; Magnoliopsida; Malvales; Malvaceae. The record is from RNAcentral.
AAUUUCUUUAAAAAAGGCAGCAAGUGGGGAUAUUUCAGCUAAAAACAAAAAAGAAGAAGAAAAUAUGCAGAGUAGAAAAUCGGCAGAACACAAAAAGAAAUGAGGAAGAAAACUUUUUAGCCAAAAAUUCUAUUCUGGAUGAAAUUCCUCAAGUUAAUGCCCAUAUCCCCCAAAACACUCACCUCAAUCCACAAUCCCUAAAAUCUCUCCCCAAAAUCGUCCACUACUUCCCUAC